RNAcentral lists this ribosomal RNA (164 nucleotides) under Anaplasma phagocytophilum. Its description in RNAcentral is "partial 23S ribosomal RNA". It matches the Rfam family "Bacterial large subunit ribosomal RNA", at positions 2746 to 2925 of the family's 2925-position model. The record is from RNAcentral. Lineage: Bacteria; Pseudomonadati; Pseudomonadota; Alphaproteobacteria; Rickettsiales; Anaplasmataceae.
UAGCUACGUAUGGACGGGAUAAUUGCUGAAAGCAUCUAAGCGAGAAACCCCCCUCAAGAUUAGAUUUCCCCAUUAGGGCCGUGAGAGACUAUCACGUUGAUAGGCCGGGUGUGUAAGUGCGGUAACGUAUUUAGCUGACCGGUACUAAUAGCCCGAUUGGUUUA